RNAcentral lists this ribosomal RNA (492 nucleotides) under uncultured bacterium. RNAcentral describes it as "partial 16S ribosomal RNA". It matches the Rfam family "Bacterial small subunit ribosomal RNA", at positions 30 to 507 of the family's 1533-position model. The record is from RNAcentral.
AUUGAACGCCGGCGGCAUGCUUUACACAUGCAAGUCGAACGGUAACAGGCCUUCGGGUGCUGACGAGUGGCGAACGGGUGAGUAAUGCAUCGGAACGUGCCCAGAGGUGGGGGAUAACGCAGCGAAAGCUGUGCUAAUACCGCAUGUGAUCUGAGGAUGAAAGCGGGGGACCAAGCAGCAAUGUUUGGCCUCGCGCCUCUGGAGCGGCCGAUGUCAGAUUAGGUAGUUGGUGGGGUAAAGGCCUACCAAGCCGACGAUCUGUAGCUGGUCUGAGAGGACGACCAGCCACACUGGGACUGAGACACGGCCCAGACUCCUACGGGAGGCAGCAGUGGGGAAUUUUGGACAAUGGGCGCAAGCCUGAUCCAGCAAUGCCGCGUGCGGGAAGAAGGCCUUCGGGUUGUAAACCGCUUUUGUACGGAACGAAAAGGCUCUGGCUAAUACCUGGGGCUGAUGACGGUACCGUAAGAAUAAGCACCGGCUAACUACGUG